This 644-nucleotide ribosomal RNA is filed under the name uncultured Bacilli bacterium. RNAcentral's name for it is "bacterial SSU rRNA". It matches the Rfam family "Bacterial small subunit ribosomal RNA", at positions 59 to 686 of the family's 1533-position model. The record is from RNAcentral. Lineage: Bacteria; Bacillati; Bacillota; Bacilli.
AAGUAGAACGCUGAAGAGAGGAGCUUGCUCUUCUUGGAUGAGUUGCGAACGGGUGAGUAACGCGUAGGUAACCUGCCUUGUAGCGGGGGAUAACUAUUGGAAACGAUAGCUAAUACCGCAUAACAAUGGAUGACCCAUGUCAUUUAUUUGAAAGGGGCAAAUGCUCCACUACAAGAUGGACCUGCGUUGUAUUAGCUAGUAGGUGAGGUAACGGCUCACCUAGGCGACGAUACAUAGCCGACCUGAGAGGGUGAUCGGCCACACUGGGACUGAGACACGGCCCAGACUCCUACGGGAGGCAGCAGUAGGGAAUCUUCGGCAAUGGGGGCAACCCUGACCGAGCAACGCCGCGUGAGUGAAGAAGGUUUUCGGAUCGUAAAGCUCUGUUGUAAGUCAAGAACGAGUGUGAGAGUGGAAAGUUCACACUGUGACGGUAGCUUACCAGAAAGGGACGGCUAACUACGUGCCAGCAGCCGCGGUAAUACGUAGGUCCCGAGCGUUGUCCGGAUUUAUUGGGCGUAAAGCGAGCGCAGGCGGUUUGAUAAGUCUGAAGUUAAAGGCUGUGGCUCAACCAUAGUUCGCUUUGGAAACUGUCAAACUUGAGUGCAGAAGGGGAGAGUGGAAUUCCAUGUGUAGCGGUGAAA